GAUGAACGCUAGCGGCAGGCCUAACACAUGCAAGUCGAGGGACAGGACACUUUGGGGUUACCAAUACCGGCGCCCGGUUGCGUAACGCGUAUACAAUCUGCCUUUCCCAUAUUGAUAUCCCGAAGAACUUUGGAUUAAUACCUAUUGUACUAUAUACGCGGCAUCGUUUUUAUAUUAAAGCUACGGUAGUUUAAGCGGAGUAUGCGUUCUAUUUGCUAGUUGGUGAGGUAACGGCUCCCCAAGGAGACGAUAGAGAGGGGUUAGGAGAUGGAGGUACCCCAGAAUGGUACUGAGAUACGGACCAGAAUGCUACGGGAGGGAGCAGUGAGGAAUAUUGGACAAUGGUGGGAAGACUGAUCCAGCCAUGCCGCGUGCAGGAUGAAGGGCGUAUGGAUGGUAAACUGCUUUUGAAAGAGAAGAAUAAGAGCUACGUGUAGUUUGAUGACGGUACCUUACGAAUAAGCAUCGGCUAACUCCGUG
Molecule: ribosomal RNA, 480 nt
Filed under: uncultured bacterium
Lineage: Bacteria
Description: partial 16S ribosomal RNA
Rfam family: Bacterial small subunit ribosomal RNA
Source: RNAcentral